UACAUUACACCGCAACCUUACCGGAACCAUUCAAAUGGCUCUCCAACCAAAUGGACACCGUAGCUUCAUAAUUUUAGAAGUCCGGUACCUUACAACAAUAGACUACUCAGUUGCGCCCUAACAGUAUAACUUUGCAACGAGUACUUUUUCGCAUUCUAUCGAACAAAUUGUAAAACCUAAUUAUAUUGUUCUAUUAUGCCCCGAGAGUGUAAAUUUGGAACGAAUCGAUGUCAACCUUCACAAGAAGCAAAAUCGGAACAAUAAUAGACUGCUCAGUUGCGCCCUCACAAUAUAACUUUAGAACGAGUACUUUUUCUCAUUCAAUCGAACAAAGUGUAAAAGCCAAUUAUAUUAUUCUAUCAAUCCCCGCGAGUGUAAAUUUGGAACGAAUCGAUGUCAACCUCCACAAAAACCAAAACCGAAACAACAAUAGACUACUCUGUAGCGCCCUAACAGUAUAACUUUGCAACGAGUACUUUUUCGCAUUUUAUCGAACAAAGAGCAAAACCUAAUAAUAUUAUUCUAUUAUGCCCCGANUAUGCCCCGAGAGUGUAUGUUUGGAACGAAUUGAUGUCAACCUUCACAAGAACCAAAUCCGGAACAACAAUAGACUACUCUGUUGCGCCCUAACAGUAUAAAUUUGCAACGAGUGUUUUUUCUCGUUCUAUCGAACAAAGAGUAAAACCUAAUUAUUUUGUUCUAUUUUGCCCCGAGAGAGUAAAUUUGGAACGCAUCGAUAUCAACAUUCACAAGAACCAAAACCGGAACAACAUUAGACUACUCAGUUACACCUUAACAGUAUAACUUUGCAAUGUAUACUUUUUCGCAUUCUAUUGAACAAAGAGUAAAACCUAAUUAUAUUGUUCUAUUUUGCCCCGACAGAGUAAAUUUGGAACAAAGCGUUGUCAACGUUCACAAGAACCAAAUCCGGAACAACAAUAGACUGCUCAGUUGCGCCCUAACCGUAUAACUUUGCAACGAGUACUUUUUCUCAUUCAAUCCAACAAUGUGUAGAAUCUAAUUAUAUUGGUCUAUUAUGCCCCGAGAGCGUAAAUUUCGAACGAAUCAUUGUCAACGUUCACAAGAACCAAAACUGGACCAACAUUAGACUACUCAGUUACACCCUAACAGUAUAACUUUACAACGAGUACUUUUUCUCAUUCUAACGAACAAAGAGUAAAACCUAAUUAUAUUGUUCUAUUAUGCCCCGAGAGUGCAAAUUUGGAACGAAUCGAUGUCAACCUUCACAAGAAGUAAAACCGGAACAACAAUAGACUGCUCAGCUGCACCCUAACAGUAUAACUUUGCAACGAGUACUUUUUCUCAUUCAAUGGAACAAAGUGUAAGAGCUAAUUAUAUAAUUGUAUUAAGCCCCGAGAGUGUAAAUUUGGAACGAAUCGAUGUCAGCUAUCACAAGAACCAAAUCCGGAAUAAUAAUAGACUACUCAGUUGCGCCCUAACAGUAUAACUCUGCAACGAGUACUUUCUCUCAUUCAAUCCAAAAAAGUGUGAAAGCUAAUUAUCUUCUUCUAUUAUGCCCCAAGAGCGUAAAUAUCGAACGAAUCAUUGUCAACGUUCACUAGAACCAAAACCGGAACAACAUUAGACUACUCAGUUGCGCCCUAACAGUAUAACUUUGCAACGAGUGCUUUUUCGCAUUCUAUCGAACAAAGAGUAAAACCUAAUUAUAUUGUUCUAUUAUGCCCCGAGAGUGUAAAUUUGGAACGAAUCGAGUCAACCUUCAGAAGAAGCAAACCGAAACAAUAAUAGACUGCUCAGUUGUGCCCUCACAGUAUACCUUUGGAACGAGUACUUUUUCUCAUUCAAUCGAACAAAGUGUAAAAGCUAAUUAUAUUAUUCUAUCAUUCCCCGAGAGUGUAAAUUUGGAACGAAUCGAUGUCAACCUUCACAAGAACCAAAAUCGAAACAACAAUAAACUACUUAGUUGCGCCCUAACAGUAUAACUUUGCAACGAGUACUUUUCUACAUUCUAUCGAACAAAGAGUAAAAACCAAAUAAUAUUAUUCUAUUAGUCCCCGAGAGUGUAAAUUUGGAACGAAUCGAUGUCAACCUUCGCAAGAACGAAAACCGAAACAACAAUAGACUACUCAGUUGCGCCCUAACAGUAUAACUUUGCAACGAGUACUUUUUCGCAUUCUAUCGAACAAAUAGUAAAACCUAAUUAUAUUGUUCUAUUAUGCCCCGAGAGUAUAAAUUUGGAACGAAUCGAUAUCAACCUUCAUCAGAAGCAAAACCGAAACAACAAUAGACUGCUCAGUUGCGCCCUAACAGUAUCACUUUACAACGAGUACUUUUUCUUAUUCAAUCGAACAAAGUGUAAAUGCUAAUUAUAUUAUUCUAUUAUGCCCCGAGAGUGUAAAUUUGGAACGAAUCGAUGUCAACCUUCACAAGAAGCAAAACCGGAACAAUAAUAGACUUCUCAGUUGCGCCAUAACAGUAUAACUUUAGAACGAGUACUUUUUCUCAUUCAAUCGAACAAACUGUAAAAGCCAAUUAUAUUAUUCUAUCAAUCCCCGAGAGUGUAAAUUUGGAACGAAUCGAUGUCAACCUCCACAAAAACCAAAGCCGAAACAACAAUAGACUACUCAGUAGCGCCCUAACAAUAUAACUUUGCAACGAGUACUUUUUCGCAUUCUAUUGAACAAAGAGCAAAACCUAAUAAUAUUAUUCUAUUAUGCCCCGAGAGUGUAAAUUUGGAAUGAAUCGAUGUCAACCUUCACAAGAACCAAAACCGGAACAACAAUAGACUACUCAGUUGCGCCCUAACAGUAUAACUUUGCAACAAGUAAUAUUUCUUUUUCAAUCGAACAAAGUGUAAAAGCUAAUUACAUUAUUCUAUUAUGCCCUGAGAGUGUAAGUUUGGAACGAAUCGAUGUCAACCUUCACAAGAACCAAAUUCGUAACAACAAUAGACUACUUUGUUGCGCCCUAACAAUAUAAAUUUGCAACGAGUGCUUUUUCUCGUUCUAUCGAACAAAGAUUAAAACCUAAUUAUGUUGUUCUAUUUUGCCCCGAGAGAAUAAAUUUUGAACGCAACGAUGUCAACAUUCACAAGAACGAAAACCAGAACAACAUUAUAUUGUUCUAUUUUGCCUCGAGAGAGUAAAUUUGGAACAAAUCGUUGUCAACGUUCACAAGAACCAAAUCCGGAACAACAAUAGACUGUUCAGUUGCAUCCUAACAGUAUUACUUUGCAACGAGUACUUUUUCUCAUUCUAACGAACAAAGAGUAAAACCUAAUUAUA
Molecule: long non-coding RNA, 3266 nt
Filed under: Ananas comosus (pineapple)
Lineage: Eukaryota; Viridiplantae; Streptophyta; Magnoliopsida; Poales; Bromeliaceae
Description: long non-coding RNA (ACOM_LNC038991)
Source: RNAcentral